RNAcentral lists this long non-coding RNA (1909 nucleotides) under Musa acuminata (dwarf banana). Its description in RNAcentral is "long non-coding RNA (MACU_LNC004206)". The record is from RNAcentral. Lineage: Eukaryota; Viridiplantae; Streptophyta; Magnoliopsida; Zingiberales; Musaceae.
GUCUUCCAGAGUGAGACACAGGAUGCAGUGUAGUUUGCACCAUCAUGAUCACAAAUGAACUCACUAACUUCAGUAAGCAUGUGCCAGCAUGGCAUGUUGCUUACAUUGCCAACCCAUUGACAGUAGCAUGGCAUGUUGCUUUCACUGCCAACCCAUUACCAGUAGCAUGCCAUGUAAUGGCUCAAUCAAAUCAACAGAACUAAAAACACUGCCAAUGGAUUAGGAUCGGCAUAAGGUCUUUCUAAAUUUCCUUAUCUCUUCGCUGAAUUAGUUCAAGAAGAAACUGACAUCUAGAGAAGAGUAGGUGCUAGCAGCUUUAGUUAUGCUAAAAAAACUAGCCAAUAUUUUGUCUUAUAGAGUUUUGACAAAUUAAGAAUGAGAGUUUAAAUACCCAAGAAAACAAGAUCAAACAGAGAUGACAGUUACCAAAGGACUAAAACUUCAAAAAAGAAGAGAUUAGGAUUUUCCACGAAGGACUAAAAGCUUUAACACAGAGAUACUAGUCAUCAGAGGACUAUUCUAGUAGAAACAUUCUGUUCAAAGUGCCUUAGAUUGAUUACUCAAGGAUGGGACAACAGGUGCUUGCAUACUACUGUAGCCAGCUAAUGUCGUGGCAUCGAAAAGACAGUUACCAAAGGACUAAAACUUCAAAAAAGAAGAGAUUAGGAUUUUCCACGAAGGACUAAAAGCUUUAACACAGAGAUACUAGUCAUCAGAGGACUAUUCUAGUAGAAACAUUCUGUUCAAAGUGCCUUAGAUUGAUUACUCAAGGAUGGGACAACAGGUGCUUGCAUACUACUGUAGCCAGCUAAUGUCGUGGCAUCGAAAAGACUACUAUUGUAGCAGCAAGUUGUCUAUUAUCAUUUUUAGUGUCAUAUAGUUUAUUGCACAAAUACAAGGAAAUACAAGGGCCACUAUGAAUAAAGAGUGAUCAAACAAAGAAAACAAAGAAUAUUCUAAAAAGGAAGAGAAUGAAUAAGAUGAAUAAAAAAACAUGGUCUUGACUAAUAAGCAAAUAACACAAUUUUAAUGUAAGUGCAGAUAUCAUACAAGGCAAUUCAAUUAUAGCAUAGGAUAACUAUAGGUAGCAUCUACAUAAGACAACAGUCUUAAGUCAUGUGUUUCCUAAUUUUUUAUAUUAAUUGAUGAAAUUUUGUCCUUUCUGUAGUGGUUACAUUAAAGAGUAUCUAGUCUUAUUUGGAAUUGUAUUUCUUACUAGGGUCAUAUUUAAGGUAUUAAUUAGAUUAUGAUGCCAAGAAUUGUGUCAUGAGUUUCUGGCAACAUCAGUAUUGUUUGCUGGAUGAGUCAGGAGAGCCAACCACAAGACAAAGAAAUAGGAGGAAAGAAAAGAAAUGGCUGAUGCCUAAACCCCCCUUCUCCUCUAGGUUAGCCUUUCACUAGUAGGAGCAGAACUUUGUAGGAACUUGGUAUCUUUAAUAUUUAUGAACUACAAAAAAGUUGUGCAUGUAGACAGAUGUGGUCUACACAAGCCUUGAAUCAUCCAUUUUGCCUCAUGUGGGGUAAGUCCAACAAAUAAAUGGUGAUUUACAAUUUACUAAAGGGUUAUAUUCAGCCUCUUGUAUGCUGAUAGUAGCGAUUCUUCUCUAUCAGUGAAAAGGCACCUUUUUCUUUCUCAUUUUUGGUCCACUCUCUACCUCUCUCCUUUGUCUGAAUAUAAAAAAUGAUUUAUUUGUUUUACAUUAAUUUCCUAGAAGUGAUCCUUGUAAUCAACCAUUUAUUGUCUAUUGUAAGAAUGGAGCUUGAUCUUGAAUUCAUUAAUAUUUUCUAGCAAACAAAAACCUAGCAGUGAUUCUAAAGGUUCAAGAAGCAAUAGAUUUUCUUCCAAAAGAGUAAGACAACCAUUUCAUCAUUGUUGAAUAUCAUAUACUAGGAAUGCAUCAGAUUUACA